RNAcentral lists this transfer RNA (73 nucleotides) under Clostridiales bacterium. RNAcentral describes it as "tRNA-Ala". It matches the Rfam family "tRNA". From Rfam's summary of the family: Transfer RNA (tRNA) molecules are approximately 80 nucleotides in length. Their secondary structure includes four short double-helical elements and three loops (D, anti-codon, and T loops). The record is from RNAcentral. Lineage: Bacteria; Bacillati; Bacillota; Clostridia; Eubacteriales.
GGGGAUAUAGCUCAGAUGGGAGAGCGCCUGCAUGGCAUGCAGGAGGCCGUGGGUUCGAGUCCCAUUAUCUCCA